GACAUGGGGGUGGUCAAUCUGGCCGGGGGGCGGCCCACCAUGAAACUGACCGGCGGCGCGCUGGCGCGGCUCGAAUCCCUGACCCCUCCGGGCCAUGAAGCGCGGAUUGACCUUACAAUUACGGAUGACUGGCCGCUGGCGCAGGCGUUUGUCAUCAUUUCGGCUGUCCCCGCGGUGAAGGUCUGAGCCACCCCGGAGCGCGGUUCCGAACUGCC
RNAcentral lists this unclassified non-coding RNA (215 nucleotides) under Hevea brasiliensis (rubber tree). Lineage: Eukaryota; Viridiplantae; Streptophyta; Magnoliopsida; Malpighiales; Euphorbiaceae. The record is from RNAcentral.